GCGGCGCUGGGGAGGCACGUUUGGGGGUGGGUAUAUUUCCUUUUUUUUUUUUUUUUUUUUAAACCCCUGUUUUUCUGUUUAAACGGCCAGCUCCCUGCAAGGAAAAAAAUCUUCUGUGGAGAUCAGAGCGCUGGCCUCGGACCGUUGGAUUGGGCGAGCAUCUUGGGUAAAGAGAACAGAGCUUUAUGGCUCUGGGCCGGCCUGAGGGGGUUAGGGGCGAGGGGAAAGCGGUUGACGGCGCUGCCUUCAGUUAAAUCUCGGAGAGUGUGCCAGGCUGGCGCAUCGCAAUCCAGUCUCGGAAUCUCGUUCUCCUGCCUCUGUGCGGGUCUGCUGUCGCCUUGCUAUUCCUGUUUCCCGGUCCCCGCCGAAUAAGUUGUGAUCACUGCAGAAAAGGUGUCCCAUUGCUCGGGGCCGCAGGCGUCAGAGAGCCCAGGGCAAGUUUCAGGGGCUACCGGGGUCCCUGGCUACCCCGCGGGGCUCUGAAGCCCAAUGUCUCAGAUGCAUCUCGGUUUUCUGAGCUCGCUCAUCUUCCCUUGGUCAAGACUCCUUCAGAUCUUCAGACUUUCUUACUGCAUUAAUUUAACAAACUGGAGGCGUGGGGGAUGGGAGGGGUGAUAGCCGAUGGGAGGGGGUUGAGGGGGAAAAAAAAAGGGGGAAAACUCCUUAGUAUCUUCAAACCCUCCCACUCGAGGUGUUCAUUGGCCCGCGGCUACGAAAACCAGAUCUUCUCCCGGUAUUCGGCCAAUAGCCUGUUAGACUCCGGGUUGAAUUUAACGCUUAGAGUGCUGGACGAGAUCUGCGCAAUCCCCUUCCUACCCCCAAGCUUCUUUCCGUGUAAGCGGUGGGGUGAGAGAGGAUAUGGAAUUAAUCUCUCUAGGUCUCUCAAAAGGUUGCCUUGAUUUUUAAAGAAUGCAGUUGUAUGUGAGUAAAACACAUGGUUCCUUGUUAAGACGUGCUCUGGGCUCAAUUUAUCCUUUUAAAAGGGAAGAGUUGAACCAGAUCCCUGAUUUUUUUUAAAAGAGCUCUGAAGUUAUAAUAUUUGGCCCUAGAAAGAAAGGAGGAAUAUCCAAAAAGAAGUCUGGUGGAUAAAGACCCCCUCCAGGGUCACCGCAGCAGGGAAAUACGAGAGAAAUUCUUUGAGCAGUUUCCAGCGUUGAGUGGGAGGUGUUGUGGCUGGCACCCUUUUGAGAGGGAAUAAAAGCACCUUCUUCCAACUGGACAGGAGACAGUUUUAUUCGCCUUUUAUAUGCUGGGGAAACUGAGCCUCACAGAGCUGUGGCUUGCUCCAAAUUGAUGGCAGAGCCAAGUUGUACACACAGGGAUGUGUUAUGACUCACAUUUCGUUAUUUCUUCCUCUGUUUUCCCACCUUAUUUGAAUCUUAGAAACCAGCUAUACAUUUCACUGUAAAGCCCAUCUGGUGAGAUGGAGUUAAUCAGAUUUUCCCCAAGCUGUGGGACUAUAGGAUAAAUACUUUAAAGGAUUUUCUGGCUGAUUUGAACUCAUUGGGACUCUGGGGACUCUCUCGCCCAAGGCUACUGAGAGAGGACAACCCCUCCUCCUUACCCAAUAACGUUAGAAACUCCUUUGGCUGAUCUCCCAAGAAUACUCAUCAGCUCAGCUCCCUCCAAGGCUAGGCCUUCUCCCAAGCAGAAAGGAUCUGAAAAGUCUUGUUUACUAGCCUCUUACCAGUAGGAUUUCCCCUCCCCUCCCCCUGUACUACAAUAGCAUACCCCACACUACCG
Molecule: long non-coding RNA, 1743 nt
Filed under: Homo sapiens (human)
Lineage: Eukaryota; Metazoa; Chordata; Mammalia; Primates; Hominidae
Description: non-protein coding lnc-G3BP1-5:1
Source: RNAcentral